Molecule: long non-coding RNA, 731 nt
Organism: Esox lucius (northern pike)
Lineage: Eukaryota; Metazoa; Chordata; Actinopteri; Esociformes; Esocidae
Source: Ensembl
CAUGACUUCAGUACUCUCCAGCAUUUGAACUCACGCCAGCAUUUGAACAGUCACCUUGCUAGGUGGCCCCAGUGGGAAUUAAACCAACAACCACAGGUGUUGUUUGCAAGUUGUACCUGAUUGCCCAGUGCGAGCAAACGUCUUCAACAUUGUCCCAACUUGCUUCACCUGCCCUUGAAGUGAGCCACUUUCACCCGAAGCUACAAAAUGAAAGGCAUAUGGAUUGGCAUCGGGCCGGCUGGCUGUCAGCUGCAGAAGGCGCCAGGGGUCGGGUCGCACAAACAGCACGUGGCCACAUUGAGAGGUAAGCAUGUUCUUAAGAGUGGGAGAGUAUAGCACUCACCUGCUAGGAGGAGUAUUGAGGAGUAAGUCAAGGAGUGUCUAGGUGGAGACAGAAUUGUGUUAAAUUGUCUUGUGUCACGGAGAAGGGAGUCUGAGAAAGAGGAGGAGUAGAUAGAAGUGUUGAAGAGAAAUGUUGCGUUGUUUGCUACCAAAGUGAGGCAAGCUGAGAAAGGUGGGAGCAGAGAGAGUUGGGGUGAAAUGAGUUGUUUGAGUGAAAGGAGUUGUUAAUAAAUGGGAAGAGUAGGUCGGAGAAUGUGGUAUGAGAAGAAGGACAGGCUAAGAAUAUGCAGAAAGUUUGUCCCAGAGAAGUAUAAAGUGAGUGCGAGUAGAAUCACAAUCAUUACAUUUUCAUUGUCCAUAAUAACAGAAAGAGAGAAUGUAAUUCGGCA